GACGAACGCUGGCGGCGUGCUUAACACAUGCAAGUCGAACGGAAAGGCCUUUUCGGAGGUACUCGAGUGGCGAACGGGUGAGUAACACGUGGGUGAUCUGCCCUGCACUCUGGGAUAAGCCUGGGAAACUGGGUCUAAUACCGGAUAGGACCGCACUUUAGUGUGUGUGGUGGAAAGUUUUUUCGGUGUAGGAUGAGCCCGCGGCCUAUCAGCUUGUUGGUGGGGUAAUGGCCUACCAAGGCGGCGACGGGUAGCCGGACUGAGAGGUUGGUCGGCCACAUUGGGACUGAGAUACGGCCCAGACUCCGACGGGAGGCAGCAGUGGGGAAUAUUGCACAAUGGGCGCAAGCCGGAUGCAGCGACGCCGCGGGGGGGAUGACGGCCUUCGGGUUGUAAACUCCUUUCGCCAGGGACGAAGCGUUUUGUGACGGUACCUGGAGAAGAAGCACCGGCUAACUACGUG
Molecule: ribosomal RNA, 463 nt
Filed under: uncultured bacterium
Lineage: Bacteria
Description: partial 16S ribosomal RNA
Rfam family: Bacterial small subunit ribosomal RNA
Source: RNAcentral